GCUCAACCGGGGAGGGUCAUUGGAAACUGGGGAACUUGAGCGCAGAAGAGGAGAGUGGAAUUCCACGUGUAGCGGUGAAAUGCGUAGAGAUGUGGAGGAACACCAGUGGCGAAGGCGACUCUCUGGUCUGUAACUGACGCUGAGGCGCGAAAGCGUGGGGAGCGAACAGGAUUAGAUACCCUGGUAGUCCACGCCGUAAACGAUGAGUGCUAAGUGUUAGAGGGUUUCCGCCCUUUAGUGCUGCAGCAAACGCAUUAAGCACUCCGCCUGGGAAGUACGGUCGCAAGACUGAAACUCAAAGGAAUUGACGGGGGCCCGCACAAGCGGUGGAGCAUGUGGUUUAAUUCGAAGCAACGCGAAGAACCUUACCAGGUCUUGACAUCCUCUGACAACCCUAGAGAUAGGGCUUCCCCUUCGGGGGCAGAGUGACAGGUGGUGCAUGGUUGUCGUCAGCUCGUGUCGUGAGAUGUUGGGUUAAGUCCCGCAACGAGCGCAACCCUUGAUCUUAGUUGCCAGCAUUCAGUUGGGCACUCUAAGGUGACUGCCGGUGACAAACCGGAGGAAGGUGGGGAUGACGUCAAAUCAUCAUGCCCCUUAUGACCUGGGCUACACACGUGCUACAAUGGGCAGAACAAAG
This 637-nucleotide ribosomal RNA is filed under the name uncultured bacterium. Its description in RNAcentral is "bacterial SSU rRNA". It matches the Rfam family "Bacterial small subunit ribosomal RNA", at positions 607 to 1244 of the family's 1533-position model. The record is from RNAcentral.